UUUUCUGCCAUUGAUUUUCUGCCAUUUUAUUUUUCUGCCAUUUAUUUUUCUGCCAUUUAAAUUCCUGCCAUUGAUCCUAUAUUAACUGCGUGGUUUAGUAAUGUAGGGCGUGAAAACCUACUAAAUUAAUUAUUUAAUAUUUUUCUAUAACCUUUAUUUUUUUUUGUAAAUAAAUAAUAAAUACUAACUAUUUUAAUAACUUUUUUUUAUUACUUACUUAUAAUAAUAAAUCCUUAUAUAUUUUGUAAAUAAAAUCUAAUUGACCAUUUUUCUAAUUGAAU
Molecule: long non-coding RNA, 281 nt
Filed under: Lathyrus oleraceus (garden pea)
Lineage: Eukaryota; Viridiplantae; Streptophyta; Magnoliopsida; Fabales; Fabaceae
Description: Pisum sativum (pea) long non-coding RNA (PSAT_LNC026355)
Source: RNAcentral